GUGAACACACACACACGGUUACGUGUUGACAACAACACACCGUCUGUGUUUAUAUGUACCAGGCACAGUUGUAACGCGUGUUUCAUAUGUACACAUUUGACCAAUAUGUCAGUGUGUUUACAGGUUUCACACAGGGCUUAUUGUUAGCUUCACACAGAUUUUGUUUAUCCCGUUCAAGUGUGUCACACAAUAUCAAUUUGUUUUCCCAAACAGUAACACAUUUUUGUACCAAACAGCUUGUUUUCACAAAAUAGAUGACACAAAAUAUGGUAAAUAUGUUAUCACAUAAAUUCUAGUUUGUCCAGCAAACAAAUGUCAACAUUAUUUGGUUUAACAAUUCAAAAUUUUUCAAAUUAUAUAUUUUUAACACAUUUUAACAAUUUUAACACUAAUUUAUUUAAAUAAGUGUAUAAUUUCGAGAUUAAAAAGUUGUAAAAACAAAUAAAUACAAAGUAAAAAAAGUAAAAGUUCCUUUUGAAUAUUGCACAAGUUAAUCAAUUUAUAAUUACUAAUUUCCGAAAAUUUAAAGUGCAAAAUUGUAGAAUGUUGCAAGAUUUAAAAUUCGGUUUCAUUGUCAAAUUUUUGAAAAAGUGGUUAAAUAAUCUGUCAGAGAAGAAAAAAAAAACAAAUUUUAUAAUUUUACCCUCGCAUAAACAAGUUUCCAAACACUUUCCAAAUUCAUCAUUCUUAAAGAUUUUAAUAAUAAUAAAAAUUCAAGUUUUAAAUUUUAAAUGAAAAGAUUAAAAUUAAAUAACGUUAAUUUUUUUUAAACCUAAAAUUUGCCAAAAAUUCGUGUGGGGGGGUUUUUGAACCCCCCCCCCCCAGUACUAAAUUUAAAAUUUUUCACCAUUUUAGGAUUUUACAAAAAAAACCCCCCAUUUAAAAAUUUCUAAAAUUUUUUAGUUGGUGGUUGUCAAUUAGCAAAAAUCACGUAAUGUGGCUUUAAUUAUUUUUGCCUCUGGCUAUAGGAAAUUGUUAGUGGCAGACGGGUGAGUAAUGCGUAGGAAUCUACCUAGUAGUACGGAAUAGCCAUUAGAAAUGGUGGGUAAUACUGUAUAAUCCCCGAGGGGGAAAGAUUUAUCGCUAUUAGAUGAGCCUACGUUAGAUUAGCCAGUUGGUGAGGUAAUGGCUUACCAAGGCUAUGAUCUAUAGCUGGUCUGAGAGGACGAUCAGCCACACUGGAACUGAGAUACGGUCCAGACUCCUACGGGAGGCAGCAGUGGGGAAUAUUGGACAAUGGGCGAAAGCCUGAUCCAGCUAUGCCGCGUGAGUGAAGAAGGCUUCGGGUGAAACCUACCUU
Molecule: ribosomal RNA, 1300 nt
Filed under: Ehrlichia canis
Lineage: Bacteria; Pseudomonadati; Pseudomonadota; Alphaproteobacteria; Rickettsiales; Anaplasmataceae
Description: bacterial SSU rRNA
Rfam family: Bacterial small subunit ribosomal RNA (bases 875-1300)
Source: RNAcentral